Molecule: ribosomal RNA, 510 nt
Filed under: uncultured bacterium
Lineage: Bacteria
Description: partial 16S ribosomal RNA
Rfam family: Bacterial small subunit ribosomal RNA
Source: RNAcentral
GACGAACGCUGGCGGCGUGCUUAACACAUGCAAGUCGAACGAAGAGCGAUGGAAGCUUGCUUCUAUCAAUCUUAGUGGCGAACGGGUGAGUAACGCGUAAUCAACCUGCCCUUCAGAGGGGGACAACAGUUGGAAACGACUGCUAAUACCGCAUACGAUCUAAUCUCGGCAUCGAGGAUAGAUGAAAGGUGGCCUCUACAUGUAAGCUAUCACUGAAGGAGGGGAUUGCGUCUGAUUAGCUAGUUGGAGGGGUAACGGCCCACCAAGGCGAUGAUCAGUAGCCGGUCUGAGAGGAUGAACGGCCACAUUGGGACUGAGACACGGCCCAGACUCCUACGGGAGGCAGCAGUGGGGAAUCUUCCGCAAUGAACGAAAGUCUGACGGAGCAACGCCGCGUGAGUGAUGACUGCCUUCGGGUUGUAAAGCUCUGUUAAUCGGGACGAAAGGCCUUCUUGCGAAUAGUGAGAAGGAUUGACGGUACCGGAAUAGAAAGCCACGGCUAACUACGUG